CCCUAACCCCCAAGGUGAUAGCAUUAGGAGGUGGGGCCUUUGGGAGGUGACUAGGUCAUGAGCAGGCAGCCCUCAUAAUUGAGACUAUUCCCUUUACGGAAGAGACUCUAGCAAGUUCCUUUGCCCCUGCUAAGGUGAGGUGAUGGUGAGAAGACCAUCAUAUAUGAACUGGGAAGUGGACCCUCACCAGCCACCAACUCUGCCUGCACCUUGACCUUGUACUUCCAGCCUCCUAUGAGGAAUAAAUUUCUGUUGUGUAUACCCUACCUCAUUUACAGCAUUUUGUUAUAGCAUCCUGAAUAGACUAAGACAGGCUAGAGGAAAAUGGGGUCACAGACAAGAGUCUUGAGGACUCAAAACUAACAAAUGAUGUACAAAAAAAAAAAAAGACUCUUCUUUAAGCUUCAUUGCUGUGAAUAAUGACUUUAUAAUAUUGGCAAAAAUGAUUGAAGGUCAGUUAUAAGUGGAUGUUACAGGUGGAUUCAAAUGUUUGUGCCUCUAAAGAUUCUUUGAAUAUUCUUCUUGGGAACUGAGUCUCCUUUCCAACCUCGGCACUUACUGCUGGUUGCUUCCCAGUGGCAUAGAGCUGGCUUGGUGUCCCGUCCUACAUCCUCAUGGCAGUCUAAGGGCCACCCCACACACUGUGUGUUGUGUCUCACAGCACUUGCUACAAGACGUGCCCAGACCUUGGCACUCCAGGAGAGCAGUGGGGAGAGACAUGCAAUACUUCUGGAAUCCUGCUGGUUGCCACGAGAAAUUAACUAACCAAACCAAGAAGGCUUUUGUGUUUUUCCAGAGACUAAGCUUUCUUCCUCAAGUUGCAAGCUACUCUUCACGCUUCCAGAUCCAAAGUACAAAUUCUUAUAAAGUGGAGAGUCCAGCCCAAUGCUCUUCAGAUGUUUGUUCACGAAGGGGCAAGAGAAAGGAUCUUUUACCUAAAAAUGCCUCCAAAAACGGGAUCGAUCUGGUCAUAGAUGGGCUGAGUGAUGGCUUCGUUCAGAUCUAUUCUUGCAAGAGUCCUGGAGGCAUAGAUGCCAUUUUUCAGGCAAACAGCUUUCAGAGUCUGAUGAAAGCCCUGGUUUCCUCUACUCCUCUAGAAUGCAAAGGAACUGACAAAACUCUUGCCUUCCAACUUUCCAUCAAUGAACAAAGACUGAGACCAAUAUCUGAGGCCAAAGAAUUUUGAGGGAAAAUGCUGGCAAAAGGCUAUCUGAAGGGCUACCCGAGAAGCGCCAACCGGCUCCCUGCCCUGUGUUUGCUGUCGCCUACAGUCUGGCUGCAAGGAUGGUAUUUCAUCCCCACACGGGCUGCCCCUCUGCCUCAGCAGAGGAGAGCAUGAAGGGGGGGGGGGGGCGCACUUCUGAGUUUGAUUGCAAAAUGCCUUGUCCUUGUGUUUGUAAAACAAACCAACCGCACACGGCACCACAUCUGAUUUGUUUUCCAUCAGCAUUUCCAAAAGCAAUCUUUUGCUGGGCAGAGAGGCGAUUUUCACCCCGAAGAACUUUUUCGGGAAGUUAGAAGGUCAAAUGCUUCCCUGGUAUUUCAGAGGACAAAGUCAAAUUAGAGAAUCUCAGAUUCCAGGAGGUUGUUUUAUGCUUUGUUUAAUUUUUUUAGUUUUUGGUUUGUUUUUUUUUUUUUGUCACAGAAGUAAGCCAAAAUGAGGCAUAAGAAACAUGAUGAAAAAGACAGGGAACCUCUCUCUAUAUAUCACUUUUAUAUAGAAUUUUUUUAAUGUAGAUAUUUGACCAAAACUGCAGAUGCCGUCUACAGUUGGCAUUGCUUACUCUUCACAUUGAGGUCAGGUCCCCAUUAUCUGCUCCUCCUGGCCACUCCAUGGGGCCAAACUGGGUAUACCUACCCACAUUCUCAGGACCAGCCCCUUGAACUCUCAUAGAGCCCUACUGGUUCACUUUCUCUGGCCCUACCUCCUUCUGCAUGACAAGAAAUUGGGCAGUUUGGUUGUGCAAAUCUGAUGGCUGAAAGCAAGUGUAGAAAUAAACACCAACCAAAUGAGAACCUGCAAAGGCUAUUUAUUCAGAACUUGCUGUAGCAAGAGAGUCAGCCACCAUCACUUGGGUUUGGCAGAGACUCAAAGGCAAGCAGAGGAGUGGGAAGUUUUCAGGUAUGCUCCCAUCUGAGGCUGCUGGCACAGGGAAGCUGUGGGUGGGCUAACUAGAAGCAAGGAUCCUAUAUGAUUCGGUAGGGUGCAUAUUUGGCUUCUCUGGCUGGAAGCAGGGAUGUAGAUUAGGAAAGUUGCCGAUUAUUAACCCAUCAGCCCAUUGGGGCUAAUUGUUAUAGACAUUAUUGCUUAGCUUCUUGGAGUCAGAUAGCAGUCUGACUCCCCAUGAGUCUAAUUUAUAGCAGGCUGUCCUCCCAAGCUCAUUAUUGUAGAUAAGGGGCUGGUUUCCUAGGCAGGUGGCUACAGGCUGUGAGUCAGAGUUCUGAUUUUUUUGUUUUUUUUAAGUUUAUUUAUUUAUCUUGAUAGAGUGAGAGCAGGGGAGGGGUAGAUAGAGAGAGAGAGAAAGAAAGAAUCCCAAGCAGGUUCUGCACUGUGAGUGUAGAGCCCGAUACGGGGCCAGAACCCAUGAAUUGUGAGCUCAUGACCGGAGCCAAAACCGAGAGUCAGACACUUAAAAAACUAAGCCACCCAGGUGCCCCCAGAGUUCUGGUUUAACAUAUGACUUCCUACUUGUAUAUUCAGUCCCUCACAAAGAAGCAAUGCACUUGGUGACUGAUUGCAGCAACAGAUCUUUCUCCCAAACUCUCCCCAACCUCUAACCUAGCAGCCUAUCCAUCUUAUUUUAGGGUAAAAAGAGCCACCCACCAAAGAGAUAAAUUUGUCCAUUACUAUGAGAAAAGUAAUUUUGAACUGGCCAUUCAGAAGGUCUGCAUUCUAGAUCAUGAAGAUAAAUACAUAAACUCUUUGCUGACUGUCCCUCCUAGAUCCCUUCCUCACAUUAUUUUGCUAGGCUGCUCUGAGUUUGAGAUUCUGAUGGCACCAAGGCAUAAGGGAAAUCUAUAGACAGACGAAAAAGUUUUUGGACUGGAGCCAUUCCUUGGUAGGAUAACCAAGAAUUGCCAAUAUUCUACUAGAUUGAAACAGAUCACUUCUGUUAUCACUUAAACACAUUCCAUCUUCUUCAAGUCUCAGGAGAGGUAAAAGCAGCUGCUGAUUGAUUUUACAUUUUCCUCUCAACCCAUGCAAAAUAUUAUUUGUUUCUUUUUUUACUCAAAUGUCACAAUUUUAACCCCCUAAUUAUCUUUUUGUCCACUUUGAAUUUCUGGGCUUAGUAUCUUCCUUUGAUAUGAAAAGAAAAAUUAUUGUAAGUUAUUUUUCUAGCUUUGCAAAAGGGAAUGUUCUGCUCAGUUUGGGAGGCAGAAAAUACACGCACAGGUAUCUCUCAUACCGGCAGGUUUUCCAUGCAGUUGAAACUGUCCGUGAGGAGCAACAGACCAAAGGCUUCAGUAACAUACUUGGUCACCAUCCUCCUCUUCUUGUCCAAGAGCCUCUUCCUGAUAUAGCCUCUUAACUUGGGGAUUUCUGGAAUUCACAGGCAGCACAAACCAUUUUAAAAGGCCAGAGUUCACAGCAAAUAGAAUCCACAAAAAUUAACAGAUCAGAAUGGCAGUCUGAAUUAACCACAGUUGAGGUCCUACAUGGGCUGACUGCCCACUCACUACACCAGCUUUUCUGAGGGUAUUUUCUCCGUGUCUAGGAUCAACAAUAAGGAAGUUAGCCUCCUAAUUCCUAAUUUUAUUUAGCGGUACAAGUCAAAGUAAGUAGAAAAGUGCAGGCUGCUUAAAAACAUUGGCACUUCCCUUUGGCCUGCUACUCACCAGAAUAGUUGAAUCAAAGGUGCCCACAAUCCGAGAUACUCAGCUCUUCAGUCCCCCUAGACUUCUCCAUCUAUAUCAAAUAACCCUUAACAUGAAAAUCACUCAUGCCUGCUGUAGAAAGGAUGAGAACCUCUGCUGAGUGGGAUUCAUGUUAGUCCUAAUGCUGUGUUCGUCAGAAGGUAACAGACUCUUCCUACCUUUUCUCCCAUUAUUCCCAUAAGUGGAAAUUCUCUUUUUUUUUUUUUUUUGAGAGAGAGAGAGGGUGAAAAUGAGUGAGGGGCAGAGAGACAGAGGGAAUCCCACCAGGGACAGAGAGAGAGAGAGAGAAGCAGGUCUCACCCAAAGCAGGAUGCCUGCUAACUCGAAGCAGGUCUCGUCAAGCUCGGGUCCUGCCUGCUUGCCCACUUUUCACUGAGUGCUCCAGUCACACAGACCUUUAGGUUCUUUGGAUUUGUACUCACAGCACCAUUUAACCAAGCUUUAUUUUUACCUUGAUGUUUUACACACGGCUUAGUAUUUGCUCCUCAUGUAGAUUUUAAAUUCUGACAAGAAAGGGGUCAUGUCUUCUGCUUCUUCCUCCUCAGAGACAGAGCAUACAACAGAAGCUCAGUAAAUACUAAUACCUGUAGCUGGGUGAGUGAGGAAUCUCAAGCCAAACACUGAGAAAGGACAACCCAAUCACUGACCUCUACCAACUCUUGGUAGACUUUGGAUGAAAGAGGAAUUGUCUCAGGCACCACAAUGCAGAGAGAAAAACAAAUACAUUUGUUAAUAGGUACAGAAACUGUGGCAAGCUGGAAAUGUGGCGCAGAAAGUUCUAGAGAGGGAAAUUCAGAGCUCAAUCUUGAGAAUUUUAGAGACUGAGAUAAAAAAUGUAUCAAUUACCAGUUUCCUCCUCGGUGAGGAGAGCCUGUUGCCAGUACUCCUGGGCGCUGACUGUGUACACGAGAUCAGAGGCUUCCAGAACCUUGGAGUCGGCAGGCAGUUUUCUCUGAAGGGAGAGCGGCACACGGAGAACAGAAUACUCAAACAUGGUAAAGGAAAUAAUGCACAGGCCUUACAAGAGCCUUCAGCAAAUUUCAGCUCACUAACUUUCGGUGCUGCAACAGCCCCUUAAAGAACACACAACACCUUGUACGUCAGGUCUUCCUAUCUGUCCAGGCCUCAUAAGGUUGGAUGUUGUAAGAAAACUGCUACAUGGAAACUAUUCUCUCAGGAGGUAAAAAUAGCAGUUUUAGGGGUGCCUGAGUGGCUCAGUAGGUUAAGUGUCCGACUCUUGAUUUCGGCUCAGGUCACGAUCUCACAGUUCGGGAGUUCGAGCCCCACGUCACACUCUGCACCAAUAGUAUGGAGCCUGUUUGGGAUUCUUUCUCUCCCUCUCUCCUUCUCUCUCUCUCUCUCUCUCUCUCUCUCUCACUCUCUCUCUGCCCCUCCCUCUCUCUCUCUCUCAACCCACCCCCAACAUAAAUAAGAUUUUUUAAAUAAAUAAAAAUACCAAUUCUAGAAGGAAAUGUAUAGAGAAAAUGGUUUAAAGUGUACCAAAGUGUUCACAGAGGGGAAAAGUACCACAGG
Long non-coding RNA from Acinonyx jubatus (cheetah), 5409 nucleotides. RefSeq lists it as uncharacterized. Lineage: Eukaryota; Metazoa; Chordata; Mammalia; Carnivora; Felidae. The transcript is spliced from 3 exons. The record is from RefSeq and is a predicted model, not a curated record.